CAGCCGCCGCGGUAAUACGUAGGUGGCAAGCGUUGUCCGGAAUUAUUGGGCGUAAAGGGCUCGCAGGCGGUUUCUUAAGUCUGAUGUGUAAGCCCCCGGCUCAACCGGGGAGGGUCAUUGGAAACUGGGAAACUUGAGUGCAGAAGAGGAGAGUGGAAUUCCACGUGUAGCGGUGAAAUGCGUAGAGAUGUGGAGGAACACCAGUGGCGAAGGCGACUCUCUGGUCUGUAACUGACGCUGAGGAGCGAAAGCGUGGGGAGCGAACAGGAUUAGAGACCCCCGUAGUCCCUGUCUCUUAUAC
This 301-nucleotide ribosomal RNA is filed under the name uncultured bacterium. Its description in RNAcentral is "partial 16S ribosomal RNA". It matches the Rfam family "Bacterial small subunit ribosomal RNA", at positions 509 to 807 of the family's 1533-position model. The record is from RNAcentral.